RNAcentral lists this unclassified non-coding RNA (376 nucleotides) under uncultured Gammaproteobacteria bacterium. RNAcentral describes it as "contains 16S-23S intergenic spacer region". The record is from RNAcentral. Lineage: Bacteria; Pseudomonadati; Pseudomonadota; Gammaproteobacteria.
UCCGGUUUGUCACCGGCAGUCCCAUUAGAGUGCUCAACUGAAUGUAGCAACUAAUGGCAAGGGUUGCGCUCGUUGCGGGACUUAACCCAACAUCUCACGACACGAGCUGACGACAGCCAUGCAGCACCUGUGUUCCGGUUCCCUUUCGGGCACAACCCCCUCUCAGGGGCCUUCCAGACAUGUCAAGGGUAGGUAAGGUUGUUCGCGUUGCAUCGAAUUAAUCCACAUCAUCCACCGCUUGUGCGGGUCCCCGUCAAUUCCUUUGAGUUUUAACCUUGCGGCCGUACUCCCCAGGCGGUCGACUUCACGCGUUAGCUACGGUACCAAGGAAUCGCUUCCCCAACACCUAGUCGACAUCGUUUAGGGCGUGGACUAC